AGAGUUUGAUCCUGGCUCAGAUUGAACGCUGGCGGCAGGCCUAACACAUGCAAGUCGAGCGGAUGAGGGGAGCUUGCUCCCUGAUUCAGCGGCGGACGGGUGAGUAAUGCCUAGGAAUCUGCCUGGUAGUGGGGGACAACGUUUCGAAAGGAACGCUAAUACCGCAUACGUCCUACGGGAGAAAGCAGGGGACCUUCGGGCCUUGCGCUAUCAGAUGAGCCUAGGUCGGAUUAGCUAGUUGGUGGGGUAAAGGCUCACCAAGGCGACGAUCCGUAACUGGUCUGAUAUGAUGAUCAGUCACACUGGAACUGAGACACGGUCCAGACUCCUACGGGAGGCAGCAGUGGGGAAUAUUGGACAAUGGGCGAAAGCCUGAUCCAGCCAUGCCGCGUGUGUGAAGAA
Molecule: ribosomal RNA, 402 nt
Filed under: uncultured bacterium
Lineage: Bacteria
Description: bacterial SSU rRNA
Rfam family: Bacterial small subunit ribosomal RNA
Source: RNAcentral